RNAcentral lists this ribosomal RNA (234 nucleotides) under uncultured bacterium. RNAcentral's name for it is "partial 16S ribosomal RNA". It matches the Rfam family "Bacterial small subunit ribosomal RNA", at positions 114 to 334 of the family's 1533-position model. The record is from RNAcentral.
CGCGUAGGUAAUCAAUCCUUACAUUUGGGAUAACAUCGGGAAACUGGUGCUAAUACCGAAUGGUCUUCAUUGCUUUGGGGCGAUGGAGUAAAGGUGGCCUCUUCAUGAAAGCUACCGUGUAGGGAUGAGCCUGCGUACCAUUAGCUAGUAGGUGGGGUAAUGGCCCACCUAGGCUACGAUGGUUAGCGGGUCUGAGAGGAUGAUCCGCCACACUGGAACUGAAACACGGACCAG